GACGAACGCUGGCGGCGUGCUUAACACAUGCAAGUCGAACGGAAAGGCCCCUUUGGGGGUACUCGAGUGGCGAACGGGUGAGUAACACGUGAGUAACCUGCCCUUGACUUCGGGAUAACUUCAGGAAACUGGGGCUAAUACCGGAUAGGAAUCCUUGCUGCAUGGUGGGGGUUGGAAAGCUUCGGCGGUUUUGGAUGGACUCGCGGCUUAUCAGCUUGUUGGUGGGGUAGUGGCUUACCAAGGCUUUGACGGGUAGCCGGCCUGAGAGGGCGACCGGCCACAUUGGGACUGAGAUACGGCCCAGACUCCUACGGGAGGCAGCAGUGGCGAAUAUUGCACAAUGGGCGGAAGCCUGAUGCAGCAACGCCGCGUGCGGGAUGACGGCCUUCGGGUUGUAAACCGCUUUCAGCAGGGGCGAAGCUUGUGGUGACGGUACCUGCAGAAGAAGCACCGGCUAACUACGUG
This 465-nucleotide ribosomal RNA is filed under the name uncultured bacterium. Its description in RNAcentral is "partial 16S ribosomal RNA". It matches the Rfam family "Bacterial small subunit ribosomal RNA", at positions 28 to 507 of the family's 1533-position model. The record is from RNAcentral.